RNAcentral lists this long non-coding RNA (3175 nucleotides) under Equus caballus (horse). RNAcentral describes it as "lncRNA (ENSECAG00000046508.1)". The record is from RNAcentral. Lineage: Eukaryota; Metazoa; Chordata; Mammalia; Perissodactyla; Equidae.
AUGUUAUAAGGAGAUAAAAGUGAAAAUGAAACGACAAAGGAAAUGAGCCAGAAAAUCAGACCUCUGGACAAUUAAAAUUCAGUGUCCAAGUCAAACCAGUGACAAUCUUUUAGGUAGAUUGUAUAAAUUCAGCUUAUUGUAGAUUUUAAAAGAAAACAAUUUUGAAGUUUCUUAUCACCAGGAACAGCUGCUAGACCUCCAAAUGGAACUUCCUAAUGAGUGUGGAAACAAAAUCUGUUUCUUUAUUUCCCAGAUACCCCGUAUUUGCCUGGCUACCAACCAACACUGACCAGCUGCUGCUCUCUAUUCUCCAGCCACCUGGUCUUACUGCUGACAUUUGAGUUUGGAAAGAGUAUGUGCUUCUUUCUAAAUAUUCCAGAUAUUAUCCCUUAUUUGCACUGUAGCUGGCUUCUGGAUUGACUCUAAUAGAAAAUGUCAAAAUCUCCCUAGUCUUUCUUGAGACACAAUGAAGUGCUUGGAGGGUGUCAUUGAGGAGACUGGCAGUCAUUGUCCCUUCCUUGUUCUGUGUUUGUCAGUAGUGUGGAGAUAGAGAAACUUAAAUCUACAUUUGCAAGACCCUUUCACAAGGAGGAUUCUUGAUGUAAUAUAGUUUAUCCAGUUAAGUUGAAAAAGGAAAGGAAGCAGAGCUAUACAUUUGCAACUGCUGCUAUGACUCCUGUAAAGUUUGGUCAGGAAGCCUCUGGGAUUUUCUGCAGCUGCGCUUUAGUUGGAGAUCAAUUACAGAGCCAUCGUGAAAAUCAUCAGGUGAUGGAAGUUUCAGUGAAUAGUCAUCAGGUAUUGAAAAUGUAGAUUUAAGCCUUCUCAAUCUCCACACUACUGACAAACAAAGAAGGAAAGAAGAAUGGCGGCCAUAGUAUCCUCCAUGAGACCCUUCAAACACUUCACUGUCUCAUCAAGUGUGUGAAUUGAGAGGCAGGAUGUGGUAGCUGAAUAUCGACUUUCUGAUUCCUGGACAGAAGCUAGGGCUGUGUAUUUGUGGAUCCAGCAAUUCCUUGGAGGUUUACGCCCACCAUAUGCAGGGCUUCAGGAGGAAGAAAGCCUUUCUAGUGGAGGUCAUUAGCAUCACUGGAGGUCAACAGUAGCUGCUGAGGGAGAGACUGACCCAUCUCAAGAAGGAAAAUUGUGUGGAGCCACAAGUGAGAUUUGAAUUCAUGUGUGGACCUGGAGCUUCUGAAAGAGAGUUGGAGAUGGAAAAAUUCCUGUGUGCUGAAUUUCUGCCCUAUACACCAGGUGAAGGCAGCAUGAUGGUUAUGGUUGACGAGAGUGAAGAGGCCAUCUUGUGAGCCACAUCAGAAGAUAGAGAAGAUUUUUCCGACUGAAACAACAUAUUAAAGGCCAAGGGCAUCCCGAAAUCUCAGAAGAAAACUAUAGCCUGUUGGAAAAUGAGAACUGGACUCUUAUUCUGCUCUGCAUCUGUGUAGAUGAAGCCCCGACACACAGCCUAACGGUUAAUGACUUCUUGAAUCUCACUGCUGCUGCGCUCCAUUCCCUGGCUGCAAAAUGGAGAAAGCACCUGGAUCCACAGUGAUGACAUCUGUCUGACCUAGCAUUUCUCCACCUGCCAUCUCUGACUGACCUUGGCCAUGUCUUUUGGAUGGCUUGGAUGCCACACUCUGCUGUACACUGUCACUCACCAAUCUCACCACUUUGAAUGCUAACCUGAACUCUGCUUGAGUUUGCCUCAUCCCUUGCCCUUUACUAGACUAUUCAUUCAGCUAAAGCAAGAGUAACAACUGUCCUUUCCACAGUUUUUGCUUCUGCUGAGUCUCUGUUGGAAAACAUUCAACAUCCUUAUACCUAAAUCCCCUCAUGUUAUGGACAACAUCUAAGCAAUAAUAAGCGUAAUAGAUAAAAUGAAGUAUCUUAUUAAAUUCAUUAAUUACCUGGUUGAGAAUAGGAUGCUGAAAUAAAAGAAAUCAUGUGUUUUUCUGCUUGUUUUUUUGGGUUUUUUUGUUUUUAUAAGAAAGAGGAACAGUUUCAUGAGAAUCUUCCCAGAAUGGGAAAUUUUAGUGACUUAGCAAAAUUGGGUGCUUGAGCAAUCUGGUGGCGGUAUGAUGUCAGGGGUGUGGAAGAGAACAGACACAAAUGCGCUGAUGAGUAAAUAGAGUUGAUGCAAUGGACAAUACUGAACAUCUAUCCUUAAGCUCUUUUCCAAUGUUUCCUGGGACUCUGGUCAAAACUUCAAAUAAAUCUGCUUUAAAAGUCCCAGUAAGAAAUCUUCCUCUCUCUGCAAAUGGAUGGCUGUUGUCCACUUCUAGGAGACUGUAAUUUAACUCCAUAGAAAAGGUCAAACAAACAUACUCUGAACUGAAGGACACCAGUCCUCAGGUGCAAGCAGGAUUCCUGUACUGAAAAAAAAUAGAUGGACAAGAACAAUUGCAUACUGAAUACUGACACUCUCAGUGGUCUUGUCCAACUAGGUUCCCAGAAUUCUGCCAGCUCAUCUCUCCCAAGACCUGGAAGGUUAUUCUCUGAAGACUCGGACCAACCAAAGGGGAAAAAGCUCAUUAUUCAUGUGUGUAGAUUAGUGAUCAUGGUUAUCUUUGGAUUAUAUAGUGCUUUAUACUUUUCUGUAUUCUUCCCAUUUUCUAUAAUAAGCAUGUAUUUAUUCAUCUUUAAUCAUAAAAAUUAAUAUUCAUGAGUAAAUACUUCUGGGCACUAUGCUAAGCAACUUAAAUUCAUUAUCUCUUUUAAUUCUCACGGUAAUCUUAGAAGUUAGGUAUUAUUUAAUUGUCACUUAAUAAUUGAGGAAACAUGGUCCUAGAGGUUAAAUAAUUGUUCACCAUCAGGUAACUAAUAACUGACUGACUUAGAUUUGAACCCAGUCUGUCUGGCUCCAAGCCAGUGUUGUGACUCAGUACCUUAAAAUGCCUCAAACAAUUUUAAAACGUUUUUCAAAGGAGGGGUUUCUAAACUCCUCAAAUUAUCCAAUCUCUUUAUUUUCAUAUCUUGCUCUAAUAAGCAUCAAAUUAUAUUUCAUAGCCAUUUCUUAUUUCUCCAGUUUCUGAUCUCAUAAUUUGUUUUAUUGUUUGUUUGUUUAUGCCCAGCUACAUCCUUUGAACAUGAUGUUUGAUACCUGACUCUGCUUUAAUUGAUAUAAAUGGUCAGAAGUGCUGUGGGGCUUUGGUAACACCCCUUAGGCAAUGUGUGGAGA